Molecule: non-coding RNA, 2156 nt
Organism: Lactuca sativa (garden lettuce)
Lineage: Eukaryota; Viridiplantae; Streptophyta; Magnoliopsida; Asterales; Asteraceae
Source: RefSeq, a predicted model, not a curated record
CCAAUAGGGAUUGGAUUGGUGUCGAUCAGUUGUACUCUCCCAACAAAAGCGCUGACUCCACCACACCACCGACUUCAUAUCUGUUCGUUCAUUCCGCCUCUUCUUCUGAUCUUCCUUACCCACGAAUCUGCCAGACCACUUACCCCCACCAUCGGACCUUUCAUUCUUCUCCGACAUCUCUAUCGUUAUCUCUCACCACCACCAUGGCUCAGUUCGAUUUAGGAAUCGGGGUGUUGUAGUUGGCAGAAGUGGACAUGGCUCCGGUUUUUGGGGAAUCUUCUGAUUCUCGCUUCCAUUUAUGAUGUGUCGUCUCUACUUCCCUGUUUCCUCCGGGUGUAGAGUCCAUCGGAAAGCGUCGAUUUUCUUUCUUCUUCUCAUUCAAUCCUCGAUUACAGGGGAUUCAGUUUCUGCUGAUGCGUCUCUCCACCGUUGUUCUGAUUACCUUCUCUCUAAAAUCGUCAAUCAUGACCAUUAUCUCUGUUUACGCUCAAACAUACGCCCCCACCACGGGAUUGAUAGUGCUCAUCGGCGACCAGCACUUCCCACUUGAUCCUUCUGUUCGCUACCCUGGGAAGAAGCAAAAAUAUGCAAAAAUCGAUUGAAAAGCUUUUCAUUUGAAGUUAUUUUUUAGUUUUAGAUGAAGGAGGUGUGAACUGCAAACAAACUUCAAACGGUGGUGUUGAAAAACAGAUGUGAAUCAUGUUUUAGUGGGCAUCUCUACAACGUCAAAAAGGAGGCAAAUGAAGAUGAUAUGUAUUACCAACAGAAAAAAAAACCUACCUUUACUGUUUUCCCAUUCAUUAGGUUGAGGGGAAAUUUCAUCUUAUUUUGGUCUCAAUGGAGUACUACAAUCACAGAGACAUUAAAUUGUUUGAAGUUUGAAAGAAUCUUACCUUCUCCACUGCCAUUCCGACACCAAUCUUGCAGGUGACUUUUUUUUUUAAAAAAAAUUAAUGUUGACUUUUGAUUUUUGAUUUUAGCACCAAAAUGACUUCUUCUGUUACUAACCACCAUUUGCUUUUUUUUUUUUUUUCAAUAAAAAUUAAUCUCAUGCCAUAUUAUGAUAACGAGAGGUUGGUUUGUCAUUGGAAGACGAAGGAGCAGGCAAGAAGAGCAAGUAUAGUGGAAGUAUCCUCAUGGGCGAAACAAAAAGAGGUAUUUUCGGAACAUUUGGUUAAUAUUUAAAAAGGAUCGAUUAUUAGUGAAGCUGCUUAAGGGGUAUUUUCGGCAACUUUUGAUAAUAAUAGGCUGCCAUGCUCUGAUGGAACGUUGCAGGGUAUUUGGGAAUUCGGUGUUUAUCUUUUCUAUUGGUUUUACUUGGUGCUGUUGGGAUUUAAUUUGAUGUUGCAUAUGCACUGAAUGUUGGAUUGAAUCCAGGCUUGUGAUCUCAGUCAACCAAAAUUGUUAUCAAAGAGACGAGGGCCAUUUCGGUCCGUUUUGGGAUUUUACUAUUAAAAUUGAGUUUUUUGGUAAAUCUUAUAAUCGUUUUUUCUAUUCCAGUCUUGGUUCAUUUGGAAGUACUCAAAGAUUUGAAUUGACAAUAUGAUAGAUGAAUUUUUAUUGAAUCCUAAGACUAAAAAAUAUAUUUUCAAAAACAUAAAGAGAUAAUUUCUCAAUUUAUAGUUUGGCUUCAAAUAUUGGUAUUUAUAUAUAGGUAAGUUUUGGAUUGGAAGUUUUAGAUUUUAUUUGACGUGUUUGAAGAUAUAUUUUCAGAUAGUGGGAGCUAGCACAUUAUAGUCGCUCAACUAGUAACCAAUUGCGAAAACUAAAAAAUCGAUGGUUGGUAUCAACUUUAAUUCUAUAACGUGAACUAAAGCUUCUAAAUUUGUUCCACAAGCAAGACAAACGCAAUUUUCAGGCAUGGAGUUGCAGGAAGUGAAACACCUCUAUUUGCUGACAUAGUUAAUAAGGGUAUUAUGUAAUCUAAAUGGACCUGAUCUAUUAUACAAAUUCAUAGCAGGAUUGAAGAACAUAUCAGAUAAAAAAGGCCGCAAUAUGGACAGAAGCAUGGAGUGGAUGGUAAAUUGUUAUUUAUUCUUGGAUUAGAUACAAGAAGUAGCAAUGUACCUUCAUUGAUUUGUUUUUCAGCCAUAUUAAUGCAAUUAAGAAAAAGCAAUGUAAAUUCAUUUUCUAUAACAUAGUUCAACAUAUUUGAU